UUACCGUAUGCCGGACCUGCUAAAAGCUACCUGAUGAGCGGAUGAGCAGGUGGGCAGUGGGUGGUGGAUGGUAUUUUAUCUGGGCCGGUCUUUUGCGAUCCUGGCCGAGUGAGUGGAUGUGGGAGUGGGUCUGAGUUGGCGCUAUGGGGUUAAGUGUGUGCGGGAUUAAUAGCCGGCACACGCUGUGGAGUGCCUCUGGAUUUUACUCUUGUACCUGUCACCUGGUCUCCACCCUGAUCCCUCAAGCGCCCCCAGCAUCCAACUCCACGGACACUUGGGCCUUUGUCAACGUGUUUCUUUGGGGGUCAUAAAUGUUUUGGCAACUUUAAUGGGGCAUCCGUUUAUCCAGCACGUGUAAUUGCCGUACAAUUUUUCUUAUGUGUGCGAUAUUUCUCGGCACUCAACCGGAUCUUUUUACCCCAUACACCCCACCCCGUCAAUGGCUCCUGGUUUCUUACUCGUAUUAUAAAUUAUGCUUAGCUAUUUGGGAAAAUUAAAACGCACACGGUACAUUUUUAAAUGCAUACACGUGCAUACACCCUGUUUUCGAGGCGUUUUGAGUUUCUCGCACCUUUGUGUUUUGCGCCAACGUCAAUUUUUCACAUAAAGUUUGUCAAACGCUUGACUUGCAUAUAAAUGAGUUGGCCGGAAACGGAAAAUGGAAAAUGGAAAGCGGGGCCACUGAGAAAGCCCCUCGAAAGUGGCGACCCAGCUUGAGAACCGAACUGGCGAUGGUAAAUGGUUGCGAACUUGCGAGUGAAAAAAAUAAUUUCCUUUGCGUAAUAUAUGCUGUAUGAGCUUCGCUUCGCUUUCCUUUCAAUUUCUUUUCGCUUCCGUGUUUUGUUUUUCCAGCGCAUAAAAAACGCUCACGGUGGGAGGUGUGAACAAUGUAUGCCGGCAAAAGUUGCCGUCCGGUUUGGUGGAAAUUUCUGUGCGGUUUUUGGUGGAAAUAAAAAACACAAAAGGGAGACAAAAUAAAAAUGAAGACAAUGGUUAUUAGUCUUUGGAAAUAGUCAC
Drosophila yakuba is the source of this 1017-nucleotide long non-coding RNA. RefSeq lists it as uncharacterized. The transcript has 2 exons. The record is from RefSeq and is a predicted model, not a curated record. NCBI's taxonomy places the organism in Eukaryota, Metazoa, Arthropoda, Insecta, Diptera, Drosophilidae.